This 261-nucleotide long non-coding RNA is filed under the name Lathyrus oleraceus (garden pea). RNAcentral describes it as "Pisum sativum (pea) long non-coding RNA (PSAT_LNC026180)". Lineage: Eukaryota; Viridiplantae; Streptophyta; Magnoliopsida; Fabales; Fabaceae. The record is from RNAcentral.
UUUGGUUCAGAGUCGAUGUUACCUACUAUGUUGGUUUCUUUUGUUUGUUUUUCUUUUGCUCGGUUUUCUCUUUUUUUUCUUUCUAUUUUUUCACCGAGUGCCAUUUUUCGUGCUUCUUUUUGAAUCUUGGAGUUAUAAUUUUUUCUUUUUUUUUCUUUCUCUCGAUGAUUUCCUAUUUCAGUUUUUUCUUUCUUUUUGUUUUCGCACUUUCUUGGGCUUUGGGAGCUUUUUGGGGGUUUUUACCCCAAACUUAGCUUUUUA